UGGCCGCCGUCUGAAAUAUUUACGCGGUCAAACCAGAGGAUUUGUUUUGCUGGAAUAGGGUACAGGCGCCGCGGAAACUAUGCUCUACCAGUCAUGUAUUGGUAGAGCUCACAUGGAAACGCGGCCGCGCGAUGCGCGUGUGUAUGGUCACCUAAUCCUGAGGAGCUCCAGGGGAAAAGAAGGGACAGGCCAAAAGGCAAACAACGAGGACAAAUAAGGCUCUCGGGUCUAACUCCGGAUAAAUUCACAAACAGGGAACCACUAUUAAGCCGGGCGGCAAAGAUAGCCCGGGUGGAAGACUUCUCGCCGGAGGCCAGCAGCGAUACGGAUCUCCACACAGAAAAACGGCGCUCUCCGGUGAUUUGUGCAAUGGCAGUCCGAGGUUCGGCUGCCAGACAAAAUGGAGUUACUUCUCAGCGCCGCGAUGCGACGGCUGGAAGUCCCCGAGAUGAGGUGGACGCGGUACACCGGAACGGACUUACCGGGAAAUGUGUGAUGUCGUCGGCGUCGACUGCAAAAGGCUUUUCUGGAUGGUCGUUGGUACGGGUCGAACGGACACCGGUUGCUGGACAGCCAAGUCGGGCUGGUAGGUAUGGCGAA
Molecule: long non-coding RNA, 600 nt
Organism: Drosophila subpulchrella
Lineage: Eukaryota; Metazoa; Arthropoda; Insecta; Diptera; Drosophilidae
Exons: 3
Source: RefSeq, a predicted model, not a curated record